UGAACCCAAUUAACCCAAUUUUAACUUGUCCCUACUAAGUGUUUUAUUUUAGAUGUACACUGCUCCCUAAGUCCUUUAGGGUACUAUAUGGAAAAACUAUAAACAGGCUAAAAAGGUCAUGACAUUAAUUUUGCUGUCAUUUUCAUGCCUUAAGUAGGCAUCAAAAACUAGAAGAACCUUGUCCUGUGGGAAGGAGGGUAAAUCUGAAACUAAUUAUAGUAGUUAUCAUAAUAAUACUAUUACAAUUAAACACUAUGACCCUAGCUAAAUAUAUUUUGGUACCUUUUGCUAAUGAAUACAAUUUUUCAAAUAAGAUUAUUAGAGUCCUAGGUAGAGCAAAAUGGUUCACCAGAGGACUAGUAGAAUAAAGUAACCACUCAAAAGCCUGAAUUUUCAUUCACCUAAAGCUUAGCUAGAAGGCUUAAUGUAAUAAACUUAGCAUAGCUGGAUUCUUUUGCAGAAAAUGCUAUACUUGUUACAAGACUUUAUUUAAGAAGGAAAAACUUCUAAUUUCGCAUGGGUAGACCACUACAUGAAAAGUCACAUCUGCCACGGUUCACUGCCGACUUAGGAACAGAUUUCACUUAUUUUCUAUUGUCAUAUGCUUCUCCUGUUUUGUCAACUGAGGAUUUGUUUAUAAGCACUAUUAUUUAAACCUAAAAGAAAAUAAAAGGGGAAAAUAUCUCAAUAUUUCAGUAGCUUCUUUCUGUUCUUAAGGUUUUAAGAAUCGAACUGCUUUAUGUGUCUGGAAGACAAGAUGGUCUAGCAGCAACAUUUAAGCUUAGUGAUUUCCUGCUAAUUCAGGUUCCAACCACCUUAUAACAUCUAGCCUGAGCACCAGUGGGAUGGUUAACCAUCUGAUUAGCAGAUUCAAAGCUCUAUAAGGGUAAGGUCCACAUGUCAUGUUCCCAUAAGUCUCAGGACCUGGAAGAAGAAUCUUUCAAACUUAUCCACUUUUGAAGAUAUAAACUUGAGCAAAAGAAGACACAAGAUUUUGCAGAUAUUCAAUGACAAAAUACUUCCUAAUAAUGAUUACAUAACUCAGCAAACAACAAGACCCACAUCGAGUUAAAAAUAUUCUAAGGAUGGAAGAAAAGGUUAUUUAUCUAAAUGAUCAGUGUGACAAAAUUAAAGCACAUGUUCUCUAAGUACAAAUGCCAAAGGCUCUAGAGUUUUGGCUACCUUAGGUUCUGAGUCAUAAAGUCAAAGCCUUAAAAAACCUAACAAGUAACUCUUGAAACAGAAGCAUGCUAUUACAGUCUUAAGGUAUGUUAUCUUUGCAAAGUUCUUAUUGACUAUCUCAGAAUUCAUUACAUUAAAAGAAAAACUUUUAAAAGGAACUAGGGGAUAGCAGAUAUCCUUAAACAACACAUAUACAGGUUAUGACAAUUCUCAAGAGGAAUCUAAAUCAUAAUACCCUUCAGUGAAUGUGUAUAAUUUUUGACAUAUCUUUACUUCACCAAUCCAUAAACACUGAAUUAAGUCUACUCAUAAACUUGUAUUCCAGUUUUAAGAGAAUUUUACCCAAGGUGAAAAGUUAUACUUUUAAAAAAAAAUCAAAUCAAAACAAAAGAUUUCUGGCUAUAAAGAUGGCUAAUUAAAGUCAUGUUUUAUUAUGCAAGCAUACACCUUUCUGUCAAAACAGGAAGGGUAAAAGGUAUGAACUUAUUCAUUAAUUAGCAGGCUAAUAACUCCACAGAGCAGGAAUUGAAAAACGUCUUCUGUAAAGGAUCAGUUAGAAAAUAUUUUCAGUUUUGUAGACCCUAUGGUUGUUGUCACUACUCCAUUCUGCUGUUGUGGCAUGAAACUGGCAAUAGACAAUAUAAAUGAUAUUAAAUUCCAAUAAAACUUUAUUUAUGAAUACUGAAAUAUAAUUUUAUAUCAUUUUCAUGCAUCAAAAAACCUUCUUUUGUUUUUUUAAUAAUUUAGAAAUGUAAAAACCAUUCUUUGCUUGUAGGUUACACAAAACCAAUUUGGUCUGCAAGCUAUAGUUUGUUAAACCUUAUCCUAAUCCAAGAGUUCAGUAAACCUGGUUUAUACAACUUACUAGCCACAUGACCUUGUCCUUACUCCACCAAAAUAAAACAAAACAAAAACAAAUACAGAAAUCCCCCCCAAAAACCAAAACAACAACAAAAAAACCCCACCAACAUUAAGCUCUUAAUUUCCAGUAGGAGUUGGAGACCUGUGCUACUGGUAUAAAAACAGUAGCAGAAACUAACUUUUAUUUUGAUAUUAUAGUGUUGCAAACUGUUCUAAGCAUUUUAUUGAAUGCUAAUUUAUUUAAUUUUCUUCAUAGCAAUAGGAUGAGUAUUUAAUGAAUCCCAUUUUACAUAUAAGAAAAUUUAGGCACAGAGAGGUUAGGUAAAUUAUUGAAGCUCACACUGCUAGUAAAUGUAUAGAUGAUGCUUAUAGACAGGUACAGGGUUCUGUUCUCUAAUUUUAAAAUUUCUCCAUUCUUAAAGUUCCCAUUUCAAAUGCCAAUUCUCAGAAAUUAAAAUGCAUAAGAGAAUAAGAACAUGGAACAACACGUAAGAUAAUUAUAGCUCAUCAAUAAUGUAGAGCUAAUCUUUGGAUUGUGCCUGUACUGACCCUCAUUGUUAUACAAAAUUACAUAUAAGAGGUUGUGAGGGGAAUGGGAAAAAAAAAACAAGGAGAGAAAUGAAUUACAGUAAAUGGGGUAGAGAGAGAAGAUGGAAGGGGAGGGGAGGGGGGAUAGUAGAGGAUAAGAAAGGUAGCAGAAUACAACAGUUACUAAUAUGGCAUUAUGUAAAAAUGUGGAUGUGUAACCGAUGUGAUUCUGCAAUCUGUAUUUGGGGUAAAAAUGGGAGUUCAUAACCCACUUGAAUCUAAUGUAUGAAAUAUGAUAUGUCAAGAGCUUUGUAAUGUUUUGAACAACCAAUAAAAAAAAUGUGGCAUAUAAAAAAAAAAAAAACAAAGUCGAUUCAAAUGGAUGGGCAC
Long non-coding RNA from Marmota monax (woodchuck), 2961 nucleotides. RefSeq lists it as uncharacterized. The record is from RefSeq and is a predicted model, not a curated record. The transcript has 2 exons. NCBI's taxonomy places the organism in Eukaryota, Metazoa, Chordata, Mammalia, Rodentia, Sciuridae.